Cyanistes caeruleus (blue tit) is the source of this 699-nucleotide long non-coding RNA. RefSeq lists it as uncharacterized. NCBI's taxonomy places the organism in Eukaryota, Metazoa, Chordata, Aves, Passeriformes, Paridae. The record is from RefSeq and is a predicted model, not a curated record.
CUAUUUGCUUCACGUGAACUGGAACACUUGUUUCAUCUGGAUGCUUCCCUUUUAAAAAAAUCCCCUGUGGCUUCUUUUUAGAUAUAAAUAAAACUGAGAAAAAUAUGUGGAGUGUGGAUGAAGGAGGAAAAACAACAGAUCCAGACUUCCUGGUACCAUUCAGUGGCAGCAGAUGCCAAACAUAACAACUUUCAAGGCACCUCCUGAAUGCUCCAGCUGUAUCCUCAGUAUGCCAUAAAUACACGCUCAAAAAUUCGCAGCACCUCAAGAUACACCAUUCCUCCUCAAUCCCCAUCCACUCAUCUGUGCCUGGUGAGAGGAUGGAAGUGACCCUGCUACAACAUUUCCUGGAGCCUGGACAGGAGCAGAGUGCCAAGCAGGGAUAGAAUCCAGUUCUUUGUGAGAUGCUCAGCCUUCCUCAUCUUUUCUCCACGAACAGUCAGUGCCUGGACCUGACAACCUGUAUCAGGUUGCAGAGCACAGCAAACAUCUGCCUUCACAGGUCCUGCUGCCUGAACACCCAUGCAAAAGCACUGGUACCAGAAGUGCACUUGCAUUUCUUCCAGACCCCCUAGUCAACACCAUUUCUACAGACAGUGUUGCCUCUGGACAAGCCCUGAUACAGCAGCAGCCUGCUGGAAGAGAAGUUUGUGCCAGCAUUGCUUUUUCAGCCCUUACUUGGUGAAUAGACCCGUAGAA